GCUCCGCCUCCCGGGUUCACGCCAUUCUCCUGCCUCAGCCUCCCGAGUAGCUGGGACUACAGGCACCCGCCACCGCGCCCGGCUAAUUUUUUUUGUAUUUUUAGUAGAGACGGGGUUUCACCGUGGUCUCGAUCUCCUGACCUCGUGAUCCGCCCGCCUCGGCCUCCCAAAGUGCUGGGAUUACAGGCGUGAGCCACCGCGCCCGGCCUUCUUCAUGCAAUUUAAUAAAGAAAUGGGUUAGGGAUUUUUUUUUUAAUGAAAAGGGAAGAAAUAAGAAACAUUGUUCAUGUUUGACUUUCUUUGGGCUUCGUUAUGAGAUUAAAAUGAUUUGGAAAAUAGAAUUCUUUCAGAGGCUACACUUGAGGUUUAUGGAAUCCUGAGAUUUAUCCAGAUCAAUCUCCUCACUCAUAUGCCUUUAUGAGGUCAGCUAUGGUUCUAAUGACCAGAGGAGCUAGGACACACACCACCAGAGGGCUUCCAGCCUUUCCAGUCCCACCUUGCAGCACGCCAUCAGAGUCCUAAAAGCAAAACCAUCUUGAGGACCUUACACCCUCACUGGAGACACAGCCCUGUCUCAUUGUCAGACCAAAGAGGAAUCUGUGUGUCCCAAGUUUUUAGUUCAAAAAUAUAUUCAUUAUAUGCAGGCAAAAUGCAGCGAUUGUUAUAGUGAAGAAUCCAGGGCCUGCCUUGUUUGAGAGUUUGGUGGGAGAGCAGCAGAAGUCAGGGUCUAGCAAGGAUCUCACUUGUCAGCAGAAAUGAGCCAUCUGGUUGCUGCCCUGAGAGCCCAUCUUACACAAAUGUCACCGCUUUCCACAUUCACAACGGACCAUUUCCUUACCAGCCAGGAGAAGCCAAUUAUAUUUGUCAAAUAACAAGAGCAAAGUACAUUUUUGCAAGUCAGUCGUCU
RNAcentral lists this long non-coding RNA (907 nucleotides) under Homo sapiens (human). Its description in RNAcentral is "HSALNT0336562". Lineage: Eukaryota; Metazoa; Chordata; Mammalia; Primates; Hominidae. The record is from RNAcentral.